CGGAGGGUGCGAGCGUUGUUCGGAUUUAUUGGGCGUAAAGAGCGUGUAGGCGGUCUAUUAAGUCUGAUGUGAAAGCCCCGGGUUCACCCCGGGAAGUGCAUUGGAAACUGGUAGACUUGAAUUCGGCAGGGGGCAGUGGAAUUCCUGGUGUAGAGGUGAAAUUCGCAGAUAUCAGGAAGAACACCUGUGGCGAAGGCGGCUGCCUGGACCGAUAUUGACGCUGAGACGCGAAAGCGUGGGGAGCAAACAGGAUUAGAUACCCUGGUAGUCCACGCCGUAAACGAUGAGUACUGGGUGUUGCGGGUAUUGACCCCUGCAGUGCCGUAAGCUAACGCAUUAAGUACUCCGCCUGGGAAGUACGGCCGCAAGGCUA
RNAcentral lists this ribosomal RNA (373 nucleotides) under uncultured organism. Its description in RNAcentral is "bacterial SSU rRNA". It matches the Rfam family "Bacterial small subunit ribosomal RNA", at positions 526 to 896 of the family's 1533-position model. The record is from RNAcentral.